UUAUUGAUGCUGCCUUCCUGGAGAGG
This 26-nucleotide non-coding RNA is filed under the name Mus musculus (house mouse). Lineage: Eukaryota; Metazoa; Chordata; Mammalia; Rodentia; Muridae. The record is from RNAcentral.